Molecule: ribosomal RNA, 406 nt
Filed under: uncultured bacterium
Lineage: Bacteria
Description: partial 16S ribosomal RNA
Rfam family: Bacterial small subunit ribosomal RNA
Source: RNAcentral
AUUGAACUCUGGCGGCAGGCCUAACACAUGCAAGUCGAACGCGUGGCGGACGGGUGAGUAAUGUCCGGGAAACUGCCUGAUGGAGGGGGAUAACUACUGGAAACGGUAGCUAAUACCGCAUACCAUCAGAUGUGCCCCGAUGGGAUUAGUUGGUUGGUGGAGUAACGGCUCACCAAGGCGACGAUCCCUCGCUGGUCUGAGAGGAUGACCAGCCACAUUGGAACUGAGACACGGUCCAGACUCCGACGGGAGGCAGCAUUGGGGAAUAAUGCACAAUGGGCGCAAGCCUGAUCAAGCCAUGCCGCGUGUAUGAAGAAGGCCUUCGGGUUGUAAAGUACUUUCAGCGGGGAGGCGUUACACGCAGAAGAAGCACCGGCUAACUCCGUGCCAGCAGCCGCGGUAAUUC